RNAcentral lists this ribosomal RNA (906 nucleotides) under uncultured Halobacteriales archaeon. Its description in RNAcentral is "bacterial SSU rRNA". It matches the Rfam family "Archaeal small subunit ribosomal RNA", at positions 6 to 913 of the family's 1478-position model. The record is from RNAcentral. Lineage: Archaea; Methanobacteriati; Methanobacteriota; Halobacteria; Halobacteriales.
GGUUGAUCCUGCCGGAGGCCAUUGCUAUGGGGAUCCGAUUUAGCCAUGCUAGUCGCACGAGUUUAGACUCGUGGCAGAUAGCUCAGUAACACGUGGCCAAACUACCCUCUGGACCGGAAUACCCUCGGGAAACUGAGGCUAAUUCCGGAUACUACUCGACGCCUGGAACGGCCCGAGAUCCAAACGCUCCGGCGCCAGAGGCUGUGGCUGCGGCCGAUUAGGUAGACGGUGGGGUAACGGCCCACCGUGCCCAUAAUCGGUACGGGUUGUGAGAGCAAGAGCCCGGAGACGGUAUCUGAGACAAGAUACCGGGCCCUACGGGGCGCAGCAGGCGCGAAACCUUUACACUGCACGACAGUGCGAUAAGGGGAUCCCCAGUGCGAGGGCAUACAGUCCUCGCUUUUCACCACCGUAAGGAGGUGGUGGAACAAGAGCUGGGCAAGACCGGUGCCAGCCGCCGCGGUAAUACCGGCAGCUCGAGUGAUGGCCGUUCUUAUUGGGCCUAAAGCGUCCGUAGCCGGCCAAGUAAGUUCGUCGGGAAACCCACAUGCUCAACAUGUGGGCGUCCGGCGAAACCUGCUUGGCUUGGGACCGGACGGCCCAGAGGGUACGGCCGGGGUAGGAGUGAAAUCCUGUAAUCCCGGCCGGACCACCGGUGGCGAAAGCGCUCUGGGAGGACGGAUCCGACGGUGAGGGACGAAAGCCAGGGUCACGAACCGGAUUAGAUACCCGGGUAGUCCUGGCUGUAAACGAUGCCCGUUAGGUGUGGCACAGGCUACGAGCCUGUGCUGUGCCGCAGUGAAGACGCUAAACGGGCCGCCUGGGAAGUACGUCUGCAAGGAUGAAACUUAAAGGAAUUGGCGGGGGAGCACUACAACCGGAGGAGCCUGCGGUUUAAUUGGAUUC